GACGGAUGAUACAAUAACUCAACUUCUGUCCGGGUUUCAUGCUGAAUGAAAGGUGAAUUCGUGUGCAAAGAGUUUUGAAAUUGAAAAAGAAUCGUAUGUCUCUACACUCUUACUCUUUGUUGGUGGUAACGCGUUACUGCGCAUCUCGUUACCAGCCUGCACUGUCCGGGAACUAGUUUUAAAUCGAAAAGCGAGAAGGCUACGUGCGCUCUCGUUCUGAAGGCUCUGGCUCGGCGAAGUCACAGACAGAAAACCUAUACGCGCCAUUGAAAGCAGGCACAGAAGUCUGUAUACGAUUCGGAACCCGUAGUUGUGUAAAGAAAUCCAAGUUAUCGAGCCGGGCUUUGUACAUGUUCCUCAACGCGCGCACGGGGCGCACCGACCUGUAGUAGCCUGAUCUUGGAUAGCCUAUCAAACCCGGGCACCGUCUAGCCUACUGUCUAUUUCACUUUGAAGGGAUGCUGGUCGUCCCAGACACGUGAGCUGAGCUGAUGAGACGAGUUUAUCGCGGAUUUGGAUGAGGGGUUUUCUGUGCGUUAAUGGCCACGCGUGCGAACUAGGCAAUGGUGCGCUCAGAUGGUUUUUUUUUUUUUUCUUUCUCUCUCUCGGUCGCUCUAUGUAUCUACCGCUCCGCCUCCCCCUUUUCGCAACAUUGACGCAACCAAAAAUACUGGAACAAAAGAAACAACUUCCUUGAAGCUUUGCUGAAACUGCACUUAGUCGGAGAAUGGAAGCUGGUUGUCAACUUGUCUGGAUGGAAAUGUCGAUGUGAGGGUGUCACCAGUGGCCGGCUGGCAGCGACAAAGAUGCAGUCGAUCACUCCGAAAGACAUCCAGGCUGUCGAGUGGUGAACCUCCUCUUGUCUGCUUUAGUAGUGGACGGAAGACUUCAAUCUGAAGAAAAAUAAAUAUGAUCAUCUGAAAUUUGUGUGGUAGAUAAUAGUCUGUAGCUCUCUGUGAACAUGUGGUUUGGACUAGAAGCCUGGAGGAUGAAGACUAAUAACACGGAAGAUGAAAGAGUUUGAAGUGGAGGGACUUGACUGCAGUUCUGGUGAUGCUGUAGCAGCACGGAAUGGUUUGUGGGUUACACUGAGAUGCAGACCAUACUGUGUUGCCGCAGUAAAGCCUGAAUAUACAACCUAGCGGUCACUUUGCUCUUCUUCCACAGGUUGAAGCUGACUUGUUUGCUAUUACUCUGGGAUUUAGUCUUGACUUUCUAAAGUAAUGGCACGUAGACAAUCGUUUGGCUGAUUUUGCCUUUCUCCUUUGCUGGUCGCCUUACUGUAGCAGCACGUAAAUAUUGGAGUUAAGACUAGCUGAAGCCUCCAGUAUUGAUCGUGCUGCUGAAGCAAAGCUGACCGCUCACAAUCAGUGCAACCAACCACUACUCAGACAACCCUGGUCGUGCCAAACUGACUGACAGUGAGCGAGUUCUUGAGAGACACAGCCUGGUGAAUAUUUCACACGGGGCCCUGUUAUGCAACGUUUGUAACCUUGAAGAGGAUGCAGCAUCACUGUGGUGCGGACGCGCUCUGCAGGGAAGAGGCCAGGAAUUACACUGUUCACUUCUUUUUAUUACACUUGCUUGGUUCACAGGCUCGCUUGUACCCCUGUGAUUUGCCAUU
Etheostoma spectabile (orangethroat darter) is the source of this 1624-nucleotide long non-coding RNA. RefSeq lists it as uncharacterized. The record is from RefSeq and is a predicted model, not a curated record. Lineage: Eukaryota; Metazoa; Chordata; Actinopteri; Perciformes; Percidae. The transcript is spliced from 3 exons.